GACGAACGCUGGCGGCGUGCUUAACACAUGCAAGUCGAACGGAAAGGCCUCUUUCGGGGGGUACUCGAGUGGCGAACGGGUGAGUAACACGUGAGUAACCUGCCCUUGACUUUGGGAUAACUUCAGGAAACUGGGGCUAAUACCGGAUAGGAGCUCCUGCUGCAUGGUGGGGGUUGGAAAGUUUCGGCGGUUGGGGAUGGACUCGCGGCUUAUCAGCUUGUUGGUGGGGUAGUGGCUUACCAAGGCUUUGACGGGUAGCCGGCCUGAGAGGGUGACCGGCCACAUUGGGACUGAGAUACGGCCCAGACUCCUACGGGAGGCAGCAGUGGGGAAUAUUGCACAAGGGGUGGAAGCCUGAUGCAGCAACGCCGGGUGCGGGAUGACGGCCUUCGGGUUGUAAACCGCUUUCGCUCAUGACGAAGCUUUGCGUGACGGUAGUGGGUAAAGAAGCACCGGCUAACUACGUG
This 467-nucleotide ribosomal RNA is filed under the name uncultured bacterium. RNAcentral's name for it is "partial 16S ribosomal RNA". It matches the Rfam family "Bacterial small subunit ribosomal RNA", at positions 28 to 507 of the family's 1533-position model. The record is from RNAcentral.